This 21-nucleotide microRNA is filed under the name Vitis vinifera (wine grape). Lineage: Eukaryota; Viridiplantae; Streptophyta; Magnoliopsida; Vitales; Vitaceae. The record is from RNAcentral.
GAGCCAAGGAUGACUGGCCGU